This 103-nucleotide small RNA is filed under the name Pluralibacter gergoviae. RNAcentral's name for it is "RtT RNA". It matches the Rfam family "RtT RNA", at positions 22 to 128 of the family's 130-position model. From Rfam's summary of the family: This family represents a bacterial cis-regulatory element known as RtT RNA. The exact function of RtT is unknown although it is thought that it may be involved in changing the cellular response in relation to amino acid starvation. Lineage: Bacteria; Pseudomonadati; Pseudomonadota; Gammaproteobacteria; Enterobacterales; Enterobacteriaceae. The record is from RNAcentral.
AUUCGAACCUGCUGCAGGUUCGUGUCGAACGUAGUGAGACAACGGAGCCGCUUGCGGCGACGGCCCGCAGGGCGAGCGAAGCGAGUCAUCCUGCACGACCCAC